GAUGAACGCUGGCGGCGUGCCUAAUGCAUGCAAGUCGAACGGUCUGAUUUAUCAGGUAGUGGCGAACGGCUGAGUAAAGCACAGGCAACCUGCCCUCAAGUGGGGAAUAACCCGCUGAAAGGCGGGCUAAUACCGCAUAUGCUCCCUCUGAGAAAUCAGUAGGGAGGAAAGCCUUCGGGCGCUUGAGGAGGGGCUUGUGUCCUAUCAGGUAGUUGGUAAGGUAACGGCCUACCAAGCCAGAGACGGGUAGCUGGUCUGAGAGGAUGGUCAGCCAGAUAGGGAAUGAGAGACGGCCCUGACUCCUACGGGAGGCAG
Molecule: ribosomal RNA, 315 nt
Filed under: uncultured Chloroflexota bacterium
Lineage: Bacteria; Bacillati; Chloroflexota
Description: bacterial SSU rRNA
Rfam family: Bacterial small subunit ribosomal RNA
Source: RNAcentral